This is an RNA transcript of Camelina sativa (false flax), 3705 nucleotides long. RefSeq lists it as uncharacterized. The record is from RefSeq and is a predicted model, not a curated record. Lineage: Eukaryota; Viridiplantae; Streptophyta; Magnoliopsida; Brassicales; Brassicaceae.
AGCGAUUAAAUUCUCCACUCAAUCUUUGCCAAUUAAGGACCAGAGACGCACGGACGUCAUUAGAGUUUAUUAGUUCGCUGAGAACCUUGUUUCGAAGAUGUUCUUGGCUAAAAGUGUUGCAGAACCAAGCGUGUGAGCUCUCACGUGUGAGGUGUGAAAGAGCAACUUGAAUAAGGACAAAUCAGAGGAAGAAGCGUGGCAAGAGGAGAAAGGCGAAUUCAAAUGUGGUCAUUAGAAGAUAUUUGGCCAGCUUCUUCCUCAUUUCGAUAUCAUACAGAAUCAUUUGUAAAAAAUCUCUUAAAAACUAAAAUAUUCUUGUUCUUGGCUGGGUUUCUCUCAUCUCGAGAGCUGGCUUAUUCAAUUCUGUGUUUCUCGUGAACAUUGGAUUGAUUGUUUGUUAUUGGAGUUGAAUUGAAGCGAUUUUGUUCGAUUGUGAAAUUUGUUGUAUUAAAGGUAUAGAACGAAGACGCUCCUUAUAAACUAUGCUAGAAACGCGAUCUUGUACGGUGGAGGCGACGAAGAAGAAGGAACCUCUGAAGGAAGAUCCGGAGGAGAUUCCGGUAGAAGAGAGAGUUUCACGAUUGGAGGAAUUGGUGGCUGAUCAACAUAGCGAGACCAUGAAACAUAUGGCAGAUCUGUUUGAAGUGAUGAAGAGAUCUACGGCCAACAAGACUUCACAAGCUCAAACUAACCAAUUCCCAGUGAUCCUAGGUCUGCGACAUCGAUUGACAUUCAAUCGGAAUUUUCAGAUCCACGACACGAUGGAAGACCGUAAAUGCUCUCCGCGCGCUCAUCCUAACGCUAAGGUUUUUAAGGUAAGGUUUCGGGUCUGAGGAGAAAUGGACGGGGAGGGGGGGGGUUAUAUAGCCUCCCAAGGUCGGUGGAAGCAAGCAGGACGUGGCACAUGACGGUCCUUGAUGCGACACAUGGCGGACACUCUUCGCAGCUCGGGUGGCGACACAUGGCGAACGGAUAAGGACGAUGGUUUUGGAUAAGCAUCACGGCCAUAUGGAUAAGGAUGGAUGAUGAUCGGAUAAGCAUCACCUUGGGGACAGUCCUGACUGUCCAUUCCCUUAGCUAGCGUCCUUACAUCACGACCGUCCGUCCGUUAGCGUACCGGUACGGUCGUGUCCGACCACCGGGUACCAAACUGGUGGGUGAAACGUAAGGGUACCUGCUCGCGUACCAGCUUAAGAGAAUGAUACGUACCGGACCAGUCCUUUAUUCGUGCAAAUUACCGAGGGUAACCCGCAUCGACCGGCGAUACCACUAUUCGCCUCACCGAUGACCAUUCCGGACUGGUCGGUGCCACCAUUACCCGGGCUACAAAUGACAAUCCGCAUCAGUUAGUACCACCAUAGUCUAGAUUACUAAUGGUAACCCGCAUUAGCAUGUACCGCCACUGUCCGAAUCGCCUACGUCUGCUGGUAUUACCAUGGCCAACCAUCAAACUUAGUCCAAAAUUCCUUAACCCUCCUAAAUUCCUAGACCAGCUAAGGCUUCCUAGAUAGGUCUAAUCCUAAGAUCUUACCUAUAGGUUCCUCGACCAACUUAGGGACAUUGUCAAUAGCCUGGCCUUCCAUACCAUUUUUCCCAUUUGACGGAGAAUCAAUCCUGAUAUGGCAUUUCCUUCUUGGUCCUUUGGUGUGCCUCAUCACUCCCUUGUAUUGCCCCUUUGAAUGUCCGAGGAAAAAUUAUCCUUCCUUAACAGAAUAAUGGGUUUUAGUUAGCCGGGCGUGGCAAGGCUGUUCCGUCCGAGCAUUAGUCGCGGGGAGGGGUAUUACACCUCCGGUGCCAAGCUUUGGGCACACGAGUAGUUCGAGAAGCCGAUGGCGCAAUCGAUCACCGUGCACCAAAAGGACUAUAAGUACCCAUCUCUUAUGUGUGCUAAGCCUAUGAGGUUGGUUGGUUGUAAGGCUAAGUCACAAAGGGAUGGGUCAAGGGUAAAGUUACAGUCCGCUGCGUAUAGAAGUUUACAAAGCAAGGCCACGAGCCAAGGCUAAGUAAACAAGUCAAAUCAAUGGAUGUUCGGCCGGGAAUGGGGGCCGAACGAAAGUUGUGAUCAUGGACGCCGAGACGCUUGGGUUGGGGUCUUUCAACCUUCCAUUCACUUGCCUUAUUUACCAGGGGAAUCAAAAGUUGUUGUGGUUACCAGGUCUUUGCAGGAGAGGGAGAACAUGUUGUUGCUUCUUAAGUUUCAUCUCUUAUGCGCACAACAUCGUAUGAAGUAAAUAGCAGAUCGAAGUCGUACAGAACGUGAGUUUUCAAUUGGUGACUUUGUUUAUGUGAAGUUGCAGCCAUACAGACAACAUUCGGUGAUUAUGAGGGCGAAUAAGAAGUUAGCUCCAAAGUAAUAUGGUCCAUAUAAGAUCUUGGAUAAAUGUGGUGCAGUGGCUUAUCAUUUAAAGUUACCUUCAUCUUCUCAAAUCCAUCUUGUAUUCCAUGUUUUACAGCUCAGGGUGUUAGUGGGUAAUGUUUCUACUACAACUCAAUUACCUAUUGUUAUGUCAAAUGUGUUUAGGAAGGAAUUGGCAAAGAUCCUUGAGAGGAAGAUGGUGAAUCGCCAGGGUCGUGCUGUGACUAAGGUGUUGGUUCAGUGGUUACAUGAACCGGAGGAAGAGGCAACUUGGGAGUUUCUUUUUGAUCUUCAGAAGAGAUUCCAAGAGUUUGAUGCUUAAACCUUGUGGUCAAGGUUCUGUAGAAGGGGGAGAUGUGUUGCAGAACCAAGCGUGUGAGCUCUCACGUGUGAAAGAGCAACUUAAUAAGGACGAAUCAGAGGAGGACAUGUGGCAAGAGGAGAAAGGCGAAUUCAAAUGUGGCCGUUAGAAGAUAUUUAGCCAGCUUCUUCCUCAUUUCGAUAUGAUACUGAAUCAUUUGUAAAAAAUCUUUUAAAAACUGAAAUACUCUUGUUCUUCGAUAGGUUUCUCUCAUCUCGAGAGCUGGCUUAUUCAAUUCUAUGUUUCUCGUGAACAUAGGAUUAAUUGUUCGUUAUUGGAGUUUAAUUGAAGCAAAUUGUGUUCGAUUGUGAAAUUUGUUGUAUUAAAAAGCCUACCAUAUUCGUGAGACAAACCCGCACGAGAAAAAAAUAAAUGGUCACGAGAUUCGAUAGUGUUGUUGCAAAGGAGCAUUUGAUCUCCUGUUGAGGGCCGGUUUCUUACCGCUAACAGACAUUGAGACACAAAACGAGAAUUUUGGUGUUGCGUGAGAAAACAAGACUUCUUUGAGUCAAGCUACCAUAUUUUAAGUGAUGCGUGUAUGAUUCCAAGUGUCCUUGGUGGUGGAGCUUGGUCGAUACACGUUGUUUUCACCUCUCUAUAGUAGUAUGGUACAAUGUCCUUUGCUGUUUGCGGGUUUGUCUUUUUAAAGCUAGAGUUUCUUCUAUGCGAUAGUCAUUUUCUUUCUCAUCCCCAUACCGAUUUGUCGCCAUUCACCAACAAACGUCUAUCAGCCUACCCAUGGUAGACCAAUCAUCAUACCAAUAUGAUGUCCGAGCCCCAUUUUUUACUUCCACUUUACAGAAUUUCUUGGCUACAUUACAUCUUUGUGUUUGAUUAGUUUUCUCCACAUCCACGAUCCCAUACUUGUGGUUUGGUUUGUUUCAUUGACCAAAACGUAGGUAUAUCUCAAGAUUAAUCUUGUAAUAAUCAUAUAAUGAAUCAUAUGAUGUCUUUAGUAAAUUCUUUAAUUACAUAAUUAAUUUUAUUA